AUUGAACGCUGGCGGCAGGCCUAACACAUGCAAGUCGAGCGAGUGGCGGACGGGUGAGUAAUGUAUGGGGAACUGCCUGAUGGAGGGGGAUAACUACUGGAAACGGUAGCUAAUACCGCAUACUAUCGUAUGAACCCAGAUGGGAUUAGCUAGUAGGUGGGGUAAAGGCUCACCUAGGCGACGAUCUCUAGCUGGUCUGAGAGGAUGACCAGCCACACUGGGACUGAGACACGGCCCAGACGCCUACGGGAGGCAGCAGUGGGGAAUAUUGCACAAUGGGCGCAAGCCUGAUGCAGCCAUGCCGCGUGUAUGAAGAAGGCCUUCGGGUUGUAAAGUACUUUCAGCGGGGAGGCGUUACCCGCAGAAGAAGCACCGGCUAACUCCGUGCCAGCAGCCGCGGUAAUUC
This 406-nucleotide ribosomal RNA is filed under the name uncultured bacterium. RNAcentral's name for it is "partial 16S ribosomal RNA". It matches the Rfam family "Bacterial small subunit ribosomal RNA", at positions 30 to 526 of the family's 1533-position model. The record is from RNAcentral.